UACUGUACUUAUACCAUUCUGAGCACACCUGAUCUCUUAUGAUUUCAGAGGCUAAGCAGGUUUGGGUCUAGUUCGUACUGAAGUACUAAACCACCAGGGAAUAUUGGAUGCUGUAUUAU
RNAcentral lists this ribosomal RNA (119 nucleotides) under Pogona vitticeps (central bearded dragon). The record is from RNAcentral. Lineage: Eukaryota; Metazoa; Chordata; Lepidosauria; Squamata; Agamidae.